UACGUAGGGGGCAAGCGUUGUCCGGAUUUAUUGGGCGUAAAGAGCGUGUAGGCGGUUAGGUAGGUCCGUUGUGAAAACUCGAGGCUCAACCUCGAGACGCCGAUGGAAACCAUCUGACUAGAGUCCGGAAGAGGAGAGUGGAAUUCCUGGUGUAGCGGUGAAAUGCGCAGAUAUCUGGAAGAACACCCGUGGCUAAGGCGGCUCUCUAGUACGGUACUGACGCUGAGACGCGAAAGCGUGGGGGGCGAACAGG
RNAcentral lists this ribosomal RNA (253 nucleotides) under uncultured bacterium. RNAcentral's name for it is "partial 16S ribosomal RNA". It matches the Rfam family "Bacterial small subunit ribosomal RNA", at positions 524 to 776 of the family's 1533-position model. The record is from RNAcentral.